AUCUCUGCACAAUAUAUUUAAAGCAGUAUCAUACUCCUUUAAAUAGUCAUGGCUUCCUUCAAACUGGGAACUGUAGUUUUUAAGUAUGUUGAGAGAUUUUAGGAGACUUUUAUUGCCAUCAUAGAGCUACAGAUUUUAGAGUGCUUUAACAAUCCACUUCUAGAGGAAGUCUGGGAAUUGCAGCUCUCUGUACUGUAUAGUGCAGAUGGGGCCUUAUUCUGUAUUGAUUGGUUGUCAUAUUGACAGACUGCAUUUACAGCUUUUCCUUCUGAUCAAACAGGAAUGUGCCUUCUGGCUUUGUGCAUCACCAGUCCUGGAUACUUGAUGGUAAAUGUACAUGAACUAAAAUCAAUAAUUGAGUGACCUAUCAUGUUAAUUUCCCCCCUGCUAUAUUGUAGGGGUUGUGGAUAUUUGGCAUUAACUAGCUGCCAAUAGCAUUCUGCACAAAAUAGCAUGAAUCCCACAAUAAAUAGCCUGGUUCUUUUUUAAUAUAUGACCAUCAUGCAUCCUGUGGCAUUGAGUCUUGCACAUUAACUGUAUAUUGCAUUGGAAAGUUCUCAAAUAAGAUUUAAAUCGGAUGCCACAACUUAAAGUGAGCCACAGAACUGGAGGUCCCCAAACCAGUACAACAAAGCGCACAUUCCCAUUUUCCUGUUGUUAAGUAACUUGUCAGUUACAUCAUGGGAUUCACUGAAUAGGGUGAAAAGGUGCUUGACGCACUUUCCAUCAUAUACAUGAGAAUCAAUGUGGUUUCCUGGAGAGAGGAUUGUGGCAUGUUGUGUGCUUUGGCUUCCAAUUACAGUAGUGGCACAAGAGUGCGUGCUGUUCAGAACCCGCUUCAGUUCUUAAAACCUUUAGCAGGACUCAAGUUGCUCUUUGUAUCGCUGAGUUUCAUUCUUAGGGUGUACAAACAUUCCUCAUAUACGUAUAGUUACAAUAAGUUUAAAAAUACUUUCUUCCUCCCCUCCCAGCCCUGAGGAUUCCCCCCCCCCCGCCCAGCUUUGGUACAUUGUGUGCAGGUUAUGAUUUCAUGGCUUGUUUUGCCAACUUUUCAGAUUCCUCCCGUCUCCCCUUUUCCCCUUUUGUGUAUUUUAUGACUCAUUCCAUAGUUAACUGUUUACCUGUCCUCAGUUGACUCAAUAAAAGAAGCAAAAUGAAUUUCUACUGUUUUUCUUAGCAUUUCCUUCCAUGCACAUUUACAUUACAGGGGAGCAUAAUUUGUGAGGGAAUUGCACUUUUGCUGUUAAUCUAAAAAUGCUGCAUCCAGAAGGUUCAAAGGCUUUAGGUUACCAACAAGCUGAAAUAAAAAGUUACGCUCCAGUAAAGCCUAUUUUUAAUACACUAUCUGUACUGUAUGUGUUUUGGGUGUGGAGAUGGCAAGUUGUUUAUUCAUGGCAUGAGUAUAGGAACAGUAUGUAUGCUUUUAUCUGAAGACUUGGAGAGGCUUUACCUCAUCUUGCCUCUCUUGGGGCUCUGCUGCCCAGAGACAAGAGAGCUGUUGCCGUGGAGAUGAAGGUGCCCUUUCCUGGCAUGAGACCCGAGACCCUGGUGAGAAGGGGAUCUCUCCUGUUGUUCAGGAUGGGCUGCUUAAAGUGCCUUGAGGCUAUUUUGUUAUUCUUCUCUUUUUUCCACUAGUUUUGUUAGGUCUCCUAAUUAUGAACUGUUGAAUGAAUUGCUGAAUGUGGGUGCAGUACUGAUAUUAUUGGUAUUGGGUAUUAUUAACUGAUCUACUGGUACGUUUAAACUUUUGGUAAUGUUCAAAUGACCUGUAAUUAUGGAAUUGGUAAUGUUAAGUUGUCAUGUAUUGUUGUUGUUGGCAUCCGUCUGUCUCGGGAGACAAUGGAGGAGAACGCCUUUGUUUAAAUUGUCUAUCCUUUGAAGAGCUUUGAGCACCAUGUAUUUGUGGAAAAUGUGCUACACAAAUAAACUGACUAUGACAUUAAUAUGACUUACAAUGACAGCAUCUUAAAUGAGAAUAUAGUGGGUGGCUUCUGAUAAAGUCAUACUCAGAGUAGAUCCUUCAAAAUCAAUGGACAUCAAGUUAGUCUUUAGUCACGUAAUGUUCAUAGUGGGGUAGGAGAGCUGAAAAUAACACCAAUAGUUUUCACAUCUGCCAACCAUUGCACCCCUUUGGUUUCAGACAGUAAAUGGGUAGAUGAGUCUAAAAAGGUUGGGACACAAAUUUUCACAGCCCUGUAGCAGUUAUAGUAGCUCAUUUACCAGAAGUAAUGUACCGUGGUACCUUAGGUUAAGUACUUAAUUUGUUCUGGAGGUCUGUACUUAACCUGAAACUGUUCUUAACCUGAAGCACCACUUUAGCUAAUGGGGCCUCCUGCUGCUGCCGCACUGCCGGAGCACAGUUUCUGUUCUCAUCCUGAAGCAAAGUUCUUAACCCGAGGUAAUAUUUCUGGGUUAGCAGAGUCUGUAACCUGAAGCGUAUGUAACCUGAAGUGUAUGUAACCCAAGGUACCACUGUAGCCAGUUUUCCUGACCUACAUGACAAAGAGAAGGAACGUUGGCAGCGGCAGCAGCACAUUAAAAACAGGAUGUGAAAUACAAAAGAUUUAGCAUGAAUUCCCCCACCCUGCAAUCUUUGUUUGGCAUGACAGAAGCUGACAACACUGCAUCAGUAGCACUUGGAACAGCGAAAUGUAGCUGUCGUUCCCUACUUUUAUGAUUCCCCAGGGCUGCUCUGCCAUUAGACAAAGUGAGGAACCAGCCUCAGGCUGCAGAUUCUGGAGAGCAAUCAGUGGCAGAGAUAUGUUAGGGGAGAGUUGUGUUCCCUUGUGCUAAUUUGCUGUCUUAAGGUGUGGUGGAGAAUGCUGUCCCACUGCCAGUGUUGAAGUAAGAUUCAGCUGUCAGUCUGGUCAGCUUCAGUAUAGGCAAAAGUGGGCUAGGCACCAUCUUUUUAUUCAUCUCAGGCAGCAAAACGUCUUAGGCCAGCCCUGAGAGUCUUUUUAUUAUCUACCAAUAUGUCUUUGCAUUAAGCAUCUACCAAAGAUUUGACUAGAUGUAUCCAUCUAUUGCAGGUUUAGUAGCUCAUCCCUAUUUUUACUGCACUCAGAAACCGAUCCCAUCAAUUCUAGGGAGAAUUGCCUCAGCUGGGGUUUCAGAGUGAUGUUUAAUUAUGCCUUUGUGGAAUGACAUGUGUUUUUUUAUUUAUGUUUAUAUAACACUGGGCUGGGCAAAAGUCCAAUAAGACAAGAGCAACAAGAAGUCAGUGUAAUUCACUUAGAGUGCCUAGAUCUUACCAAGGAAAAGAAGCCAAAAUAUCUAAAUUGUUCUUUUCUUAUAAGCACACAAAUGACUCCUUUGUGUCUCAUACAGUGUUGUAAGCAUUUCCCUGGAUCAAGUUAGUGGGUACAACUCUCCAAUGUGUCUUGGAUUAGAAACAGAAGUGUUAGAGCUUAUCCAGACAAUCAGUUGAAAGCUUGCCCUUACCACAUGUUAGCUUUUGCCAAAUGGCCCAGUGAGCAGCUUGUAUUAAAGGCAAUAAUGUGACAUUCAGUCUGCAUCCUUGAUACCAAGAUGGAUAGCAAGACUGUGGCCUCCGGCAUACAUGGAAAAAAGCAUGGCACCUUUCUGACCUAAGAUAAAGGGGGCUAAUUUGCCUGAAGGGGAGCAUUGCUAAAGGCUCUGUUACUCAAACUCUAUCGGAUGUGGCUUCCAUAGAGGAUAAGGGUGUUGCUACCAGGAACCCUGUGAAAGGCAGGAGAAAUAUUCCUAAGCUGUAAUAUAUGUUAGCAUUCCCAAGACCUCUAUAACCG
This is a non-coding RNA of Podarcis lilfordi (Lilford's wall lizard), 3767 nucleotides long. Lineage: Eukaryota; Metazoa; Chordata; Lepidosauria; Squamata; Lacertidae. The record is from the annotation of a GenBank genome assembly.